RNAcentral lists this ribosomal RNA (253 nucleotides) under uncultured bacterium. RNAcentral's name for it is "partial 16S ribosomal RNA". It matches the Rfam family "Bacterial small subunit ribosomal RNA", at positions 524 to 776 of the family's 1533-position model. The record is from RNAcentral.
UACGGAGGGGGCUAGCGUUGUUCGGAAUUACUGGGCGUAAAGCGCACGUAGGCGGCUUUGUAAGUUAGAGGUGAAAGCCCAGGGCUCAACUCUGGAACUGCCUUUGAUACUGUCGAUCUAGAGUAUGGAAGAGGUGAGUGGAAUUCCGAGUGUAGAGGUGAAAUUCGUAGAUAUUCGGAGGAACACCAGUGGCGAAGGCGGCUCACUGGUCCAUUACUGACGCUGAGGUGCGAAAGCGUGGGGAGCAAACAGG